CAGCCGCCACGGGAAUACGUAGGGUGCAAGCGUUAAUCGGAAUUACUGGGCGUAAAGCGUGCGCAGGCGGUUUGUUAAGACAGAUGUGAAAUCCCCGGGCUUAACCUGGGAACUGCAUUUGUGACUGGCAAGCUAGAGUAUGGCAGAGGGGGGUGGAAUUCCGCGUGUAGCAGUGAAAUGCGCAGAUAUGCGGAGGAACACCGAUGGCGAAGGCAGCCCCCUGGGCCAAUACUGACGCUCAUGCACGAAAGCGUGGGGAGCAAACAGGAUUAGAUACCCGAGUAGUCCCUGUCUCUUAUAC
RNAcentral lists this ribosomal RNA (301 nucleotides) under uncultured bacterium. RNAcentral's name for it is "partial 16S ribosomal RNA". It matches the Rfam family "Bacterial small subunit ribosomal RNA", at positions 509 to 807 of the family's 1533-position model. The record is from RNAcentral.